This 449-nucleotide ribosomal RNA is filed under the name uncultured bacterium. RNAcentral describes it as "partial 16S ribosomal RNA". It matches the Rfam family "Bacterial small subunit ribosomal RNA", at positions 354 to 796 of the family's 1533-position model. The record is from RNAcentral.
GUCGAGAAUCAUUCACAAUGGGGGAAACCCUGAUGGUGUGACGCCGCGUGGAGGAUGAAGGUCUUCGGAUUGUAAACUCCUGUCAUGUGGGAGUAAAGCCGGGUGUUAAAUGCAUGCCGGUCUGAGAGUACCACAAGAGGAAGGGACGGCUAACUCUGUGCCAGCAGCCGCGGUAAUACAGAGGUCCCAAGCGUUGUUCGGAAUCACUGGGCGUAAAGGGUGCGUAGGCGGCGCGGAAAGUCAGGGGUGAAAUCCCGGAGCUCAACUCCGGAGCUGCCUUUGAUACUCCCGCGCUUGAGAACUGGAGGGGAGACCGGAAGUCACGGUGGAGCAGUGAAAUGCGUGGAUAUCGUGAGGAACACUAGUGGCGAAGGCGGGUCUCUGGACAGUAUCUGACGCUGAGGCAUGAAGGCCAGGGGAGCGAACGGGAUUAGAUACCCUGGUAGUCC